This 542-nucleotide ribosomal RNA is filed under the name uncultured bacterium. Its description in RNAcentral is "bacterial SSU rRNA". It matches the Rfam family "Bacterial small subunit ribosomal RNA", at positions 356 to 896 of the family's 1533-position model. The record is from RNAcentral.
GGGGAAUAUUGCACAAUGGGCGAAAGCCUGAUGCAGCGACGCCGCGUGAGGGAUGGAGGCCUUCGGGUUGUAAACCUCUUUCGCUCAUGGUCAAGCCGCAACUGUGGGUUGUGGUGAGGGUAGUGGGUAAAGAAGCGCCGGCUAACUACGUGCCAGCAGCCGCGGUAAUACGUAGGGCGCGAGCGUUGUCCGGAAUUAUUGGGCGUAAAGGGCUUGUAGGCGGUUGGUCGCGUCUGCCGUGAAAUCCUCUGGCUUAACUGGGGGCGUGCGGUGGGUACGGGCUGACUUGAGUGCGGUAGGGGAGACUGGAACUCCUGGUGUAGCGGUGGAAUGCGUAGAUAUAUGGAGGAACACCGGUGGCGAAAGCGGCUCUCUGGCUUGUAACUGACGCUGAGGCUCGAAAGCGUGGGGAGCAAACAGGAUUAGAUACCCUGGUAGUCCACGCCGUAAACGAUGAGUGCUAGGUGUUAGACCCUUUCCGGGGUUUAGUGCCGUAGCUAACGCAUUAAGCACUCCGCCUGGGGAGUACGACCGCAAGGUUG